Podarcis lilfordi (Lilford's wall lizard) is the source of this 1019-nucleotide non-coding RNA. Lineage: Eukaryota; Metazoa; Chordata; Lepidosauria; Squamata; Lacertidae. The record is from the annotation of a GenBank genome assembly.
GUACCACUGUAUUUGAUUCCAGGGGGCAGGGAGCAAUUUGCAGCCCCCCUCAAGCCAAAAAAUUGUGGAAGUAAAGUGACAAAAUUUGGGCAUACAGUUCUUUCCUGCUGUUAUCAUGGGGGAAUAGGAACCUGCAUGUGUGGAAAGGCAGCAGGGGCCAAGAGGAAGUAGCCGCAUUGUCCAAUGAUUUCUGUUGUUGUGACAUAACACGGCCACUGAUGUGAAUGAAAUUUAGCGCAUCAUGCUGGUAUAUCGGUCAAAAAGCCACAGCUCCAUAAUGCAACAGUCUCUGCAGUGUGAAAGGAAUGUUAGGAAACGAGACAGAAGCAGUAACAUUAUAAUAAAGAAAAUGAUUGCAAUAUUCCCCAUAUCUGGAGACAUCCUGAGAGUACAAAAGACAGGGAAAUAAUAGAUAGGGAUUGAUCCAAGACAUUUGCCCACAUUCCCAGGGAUUGCUGAAUGAAAAUUAUUUUUUAAAAAAAAUAAUAUUUUUUUUUAAAUUUUCAAACAUAAUAAUUGUCAUACAUUCCACAAAAUUUCUUCUCUUAUACAAUCUUUUUGGACUUCCCUCAGCACCUCUGAUGAUCUUCCAUUUUUAUAAUUUAUUCUGCAUUUCUUAAAUUCAUAUUGCCUUAAUUAUCCUAACUAAUGUUAUCCUUUUCAUUCAAUAAAGCAAUAAUUCCAAUUAUUUACCUUACAAAACUUCUUGUAAACCUACAAAUGUAAUCUGGUCAUCACAACUACUUUUCAAAUAGUCUGUAAAUUUACGCCAAUCUUCUGUGAAUCUCUGGUUCCGCCGGUUUCGAAUUCUUCCCGUUAGUUUAUCUAGUUCUGCAUAGUCCAUCAGUUUCAUCCUCCAGUCUUCUUUCAUCGGUAAUUCUUCUUGCUUCCAAUUUUGUGCCAAUAAUAUUCUUGCUGCCAUCAUUGCAUACAGAAACAACUUACAGUCACUUCUAAUUAUAUCAUCUCCAACAAUGCCUAGUAAAAAUGCUUCUGAUUUUUUAAUAAACGUAUAUUUC